RNAcentral lists this ribosomal RNA (778 nucleotides) under Enterobacter cloacae. RNAcentral's name for it is "partial 23S ribosomal RNA". It matches the Rfam family "Bacterial large subunit ribosomal RNA", at positions 412 to 1193 of the family's 2925-position model. The record is from RNAcentral. Lineage: Bacteria; Pseudomonadati; Pseudomonadota; Gammaproteobacteria; Enterobacterales; Enterobacteriaceae.
GUAGGGCGGGACACGUGGUAUCCUGUCUGAAUAUGGGGGGACCAUCCUCCAAGGCUAAAUACUCCUGACUGACCGAUAGUGAACCAGUACCGUGAGGGAAAGGCGAAAAGAACCCCGGCGAGGGGAGUGAAAAAGAACCUGAAACCGUGUACGUACAAGCAGUGGGAGCACCUUCGGGUGUGACUGCGUACCUUUUGUAUAAUGGGUCAGCGACUUAUAUUCUGUAGCAAGGUUAACCGUAUAGGGGAGCCGAAGGGAAACCGAGUCUUAACUGGGCGUUAAGUUGCAGGGUAUAGACCCGAAACCCGGUGAUCUAGCCAUGGGCAGGUUGAAGGUUGGGUAACACUAACUGGAGGACCGAACCGACUAAUGUUGAAAAAUUAGCGGAUGACCUGUGGCUGGGGGUGAAAGGCCAAUCAAACCGGGAGAUAGCUGGUUCUCCCCGAAAGCUAUUUAGGUAGCGCCUCGUGAACUCAUCUUCGGGGGUAGAGCACUGUUUCGGCUAGGGGGCCAUCCCGGCUUACCAACCCGAUGCAAACUACGAAUACCGAAGAAUGUUAUCACGGGAGACACACGGCGGGUGCUAACGUCCGUCGUGAAGAGGGAAACAACCCAGACCGCCAGCUAAGGUCCCAAAGUCAUGGUUAAGUGGGAAACGAUGUGGGAAGGCCCAGACAGCCAGGAUGUUGGCUUAGAAGCAGCCAUCAUUUAAAGAAAGCGUAAUAGCUCACUGGUCGAGUCGGCCUGCGCGGAAGAUGUAACGGGGCUAAACCAUGCA